Callorhinus ursinus (northern fur seal) is the source of this 310-nucleotide long non-coding RNA. RefSeq lists it as uncharacterized. The record is from RefSeq and is a predicted model, not a curated record. NCBI's taxonomy places the organism in Eukaryota, Metazoa, Chordata, Mammalia, Carnivora, Otariidae.
UAGACCCAGGCAGGUUCUUAAGCUCUCUGCAAAGCCAUUUCCUCAUGUGUAAAAUGAACACAACAACCCAAGUGCUCUCGAAGGCCUGUUGUGAGAUGAACAUGGGCUAAUGUAUGGGAAGAUCAACUAGCAACUAUCCGUACACAAGACACCACUGUGAAAAUCCUAGAACCUGGGGAUGAGGAAGUGGUUUAUUGGACAACAGAUACUGAAGAGGACCACAUUAGAAGGAACAAGUUUGCAGACUCCUCAUCUACAUGAUGAUUACAGAGACCUGGACAAAUUAAAGGAUUAGCAGUAAGAAUGAAAG